This 75-nucleotide transfer RNA is filed under the name Thermofilum pendens Hrk 5. RNAcentral's name for it is "tRNA-Ala (CGC) (tRNA-Ala-CGC-1-1)". It matches the Rfam family "tRNA". From Rfam's summary of the family: Transfer RNA (tRNA) molecules are approximately 80 nucleotides in length. Their secondary structure includes four short double-helical elements and three loops (D, anti-codon, and T loops). RNAcentral also lists the same sequence under 1 other name. The record is from RNAcentral. Lineage: Archaea; Thermoproteati; Thermoproteota; Thermoprotei; Thermofilales; Thermofilaceae.
GGGCCGGUCGUCUAGUGGGAGGAUACCGCCUUCGCACGGCGGAGGUCCCGGGUUCGAAUCCCGGCCGGUCCACCA